GGGAUUGUGACUCAGAGGUAGAGUACUUGCCUAGCAUGCGUGAGGCACUGAGUUUGAUCCUCAGCACCA
This 69-nucleotide transfer RNA is filed under the name Ictidomys tridecemlineatus (thirteen-lined ground squirrel). Its description in RNAcentral is "Spermophilus tridecemlineatus (thirteen-lined ground squirrel) tRNA". It matches the Rfam family "tRNA". Rfam says of the family: Transfer RNA (tRNA) molecules are approximately 80 nucleotides in length. The record is from Rfam by way of RNAcentral. Lineage: Eukaryota; Metazoa; Chordata; Mammalia; Rodentia; Sciuridae.